GUUUGUGGCUCAGUGGUAGAGCACUCGCCUAGCAUGCGAAGCCCUGGAUUCGAUCCUCAGCAUCACA
Molecule: transfer RNA, 67 nt
Filed under: Marmota monax (woodchuck)
Lineage: Eukaryota; Metazoa; Chordata; Mammalia; Rodentia; Sciuridae
Description: tRNA.Ala
Source: RNAcentral